Molecule: ribosomal RNA, 449 nt
Filed under: uncultured bacterium
Lineage: Bacteria
Description: partial 16S ribosomal RNA
Rfam family: Bacterial small subunit ribosomal RNA
Source: RNAcentral
AGCGAACGCUGGCGGCAGGCCUAACACAUGCAAGUCGAACGGUCUCUUCGGAGGCAGUGGCGGACGGGUGAGUAACGCGUGGGAACGUGCCCUUUGGUUCGGAACAACACAGGGAAACUUGUGCUAAUACCGGAUGAGCCCUUCGGGGGAAAGAUUUAUCGCCAUUGGAGCGGCCCGCGUUGGAUUAGGUAGUUGGUGGGGUAAAAGCCUACCAAGCCUACGAUCCAUAGCUGGUCUGAGAGGAUGAUCAGCCGCACUGGGACUGAGACACGGCCCAGACUCCUACGGGAGGCAGCAGUGGGAAAUCUUGCGCAAUGGGCGAAAGCCUGACGCAGCCAUGCCGCGUGUAUGAUGAAGGUCUUAGGAUUGUAAAAUACUUUCACCGGGGAAGAUAAUGACGGUACCCGGAGAAGAAGCCCCGGCUAACUUCGUGCCAGCAGCCGCCGUAA